This 253-nucleotide ribosomal RNA is filed under the name uncultured bacterium. RNAcentral's name for it is "partial 16S ribosomal RNA". It matches the Rfam family "Bacterial small subunit ribosomal RNA", at positions 524 to 776 of the family's 1533-position model. The record is from RNAcentral.
UACGUAGGGUGCAAGCGUUGUCCGGAAUUAUUGGGCGUAAAGAGCUUGUAGGCGGUUUGUCGCGUCUGCUGUGAAAUUUCGGGGCUCAACCCCGAACUUGCAGUGGGUACGGGCAGACUAGAGUGUGGUAGGGGAGACUGGAAUUCCUGGUGUAGCGGUGGAAUGCGCAGAUAUCAGGAGGAACACCGGUGGCGAAGGCGGGUCUCUGGGCCGAUACUGACACUGAGGAGCGAAAGCGUGGGGAGCGAACAGG